Molecule: non-coding RNA, 680 nt
Organism: Malus domestica (apple)
Lineage: Eukaryota; Viridiplantae; Streptophyta; Magnoliopsida; Rosales; Rosaceae
Source: RefSeq, a predicted model, not a curated record
AGGCCAAACAAUUAGUCAAGGAUGAGCUAACGUGUAGCCAUCCCAAACGCUUCUUCUUCUUUCCAAGCAUCACAUGGUGGGGGAGCCAAGGGAAUCAGAUUCUGUCCAUAAAUGUUGGGGUGAUGUGGGUAGUCUAGGGGGUGUGAGUAAGCAUUCUAAAUCAGAAGAGGUAAUGAUGGGCUUAGAGGGAGUAUUCCUAACUCUCACUGAAGAAUUAGAGGAGAGUGUGAGGUUUUGGAAAGGGAAAAGUAGGAAAUCGGAAGAGGGAAGCUGAGAGGGUGUUGGUGUAUUCUUCAAUUUGUACAAAAGGCCUGGGAGCGACUCCGGACACUUCGGAGGCUUAGAGAGGUAUUAUAGUUAGCUGGACAAGAGCUAUUGCAGGUACCGGUAUGGCAGAACAAGAUGAUGACCUGUCUUUAUAUGAAUAAACAUAUCCUAUGUGUGCUGGUUUCCUAGUUGUACUUUAAAUUAAGUGUUCUAGUAUCUCAUGAGUGUGUUGUAAGAGUUGAACUCUUUAAACUCAUAAUGUAUUAAUUAAACAGGUCUAAGUGAACUUUUAGUUGGCUCUGGUUCCAUCAUACUCUCGUUGUAAUAUUUUAAUUUAUUUUAAAUUCUAUUCACACCCUAAUUCGAUUAUCAUUCUUAUUUUCGAAUUUGGGGUGUGACAGUUUGGGUACAAA